RNAcentral lists this ribosomal RNA (484 nucleotides) under uncultured bacterium. RNAcentral's name for it is "partial 16S ribosomal RNA". It matches the Rfam family "Bacterial small subunit ribosomal RNA", at positions 30 to 507 of the family's 1533-position model. The record is from RNAcentral.
AUUGAACGCUGGCGGCAGGCCUAACACAUGCAAGUCGAGCGGAUGAAGGGAGCUUGCUCCUGGAUUCAGCGGCGGACGGGUGAGUAAUGCCUAGGAAUAUGCCUGGUAGUGGGGGAUAACGUCCGGAAACGGGCGCUAAUACCGCAUACUUCCUGAGGGAGAAAGUGGGGGAUCUUCGGACCUCACGCUAUCAGAUGAGCCAACGUCGGCUUAGCUAGUUGGUGGGGUAAAUGCCUACCAAGGCGACGAUCCGUAACUGGUCUGAGAGGAUGAUCAGUCACACUGGAACUGAGACACGGUCCCGACUCCUACGGGAGGCCGCAGUGGGGAAUAUUGGACGAUGGGCGAAAGCCUGAUCCAGCCAUGUCGAGUGUGUGAAGAAGGUCUUCGGAUUGUAAAGCACUUUAAGUUGGGAGGAAGGGCAGUAAGUUAAUACCUUGCUGUUUUGACGUUACCAACAGAAUAAGCACCGGCUAACUUCGUG